UCUCCGUUGGUGAACCAGCGGAGGGAUCAUUACAGGACUCGCAAGACUCCUUACACCCUGUGAACCUUACUGUAUACGCGUUGCUUCGGCGGGUCCGCCCGCCGGCAGCAUACCACAUUCUGUUUCUCUGCGUUGGCAUCUCGAGAGAAAAGCAAAUAAGUUAAAACUUUCAACAACGGAUCUCUUGGUUCUG
RNAcentral lists this unclassified non-coding RNA (193 nucleotides) under plant metagenome. Its description in RNAcentral is "partial contains small subunit ribosomal RNA, internal transcribed spacer 1, and 5.8S ribosomal RNA". The record is from RNAcentral.